This is a long non-coding RNA of Acipenser ruthenus (sterlet), 1872 nucleotides long. RefSeq lists it as uncharacterized. The transcript has 4 exons. Lineage: Eukaryota; Metazoa; Chordata; Actinopteri; Acipenseriformes; Acipenseridae. The record is from RefSeq and is a predicted model, not a curated record.
UACAGAUCCAAACCCCUCAGACCCUCCUUCCACUCCAGUCUCUAAAGAUCCAAACCCCUCAGACCCUCCUUCCACUCCAGUCUCUAAAGAUAACAUGGCAAUCGGAAGGGUCAAAUUGACCGCACCAAGAGGAAUGAAUCUUGAAGACCCCAAAGUGAGCGAAGCCAUUUUAGAGCAGAUUCGGGAGUACCUCUCCAAGAAUUUUCCGAUGGAAGGCGUUAAGAUGCGCUGGAGAAAACAAGACGGAGAGAUUUUCCACAAGGAUGAGGAAGAGGAGGAGUAGGAAGAGGAGCUCCAAGCAGUGAGAUACCAGCACAGGCAUGACAAGUGUGACUCAGGACAUUUUGUCAUUGAUCUCUAUUAUAAACUAAUCAAAGCGUGCUUGUAUUUCUCAAUGUUUUAUAUACAUUGGUGGUUGGUAUUACAUCAAAUAGAUUCAGAUUGGGAUUAAAGUUUAUUUAAGGCUUUUAAGUGUGUGUUUAAUGUUAUAUUAGCAACUACAACUAUAAUUUAAAUUAGAUGUGUUGAGGGUUUCAGUUUUAGAUUCAUUUUACAAUAUCUACUGGUACAACUCUGAUUUAUUUUAAGGUGUGGGUUUUAGUUAUAUGUUACCUACUGGUACAACAUUUAUAUUAUGGUGAUGGGUGUAAUUUUAAUUUAUAAUAAGUACAAUACAUAUUACAUUAGUUACUAGUGAAACUGAUUUAUUUAUUUAUUUAUUUAUUUAUUUAUUUAUUAGCAGACGCCCUUAUCCAGGGCGACUUAGAGUCGUAAACAAAAAUACAUUUCAAGAAUCACAGUACAAGUAAUAACAAUUAAGAGCAAGAAAAAUACAAUGACUUUGGUAUUUUAUUAAGGAUAAAAUAUUAAGGAUUUACAAUGUUUGUUCAACUUAAAAUAGAAAGAGAGAAAUAAUUCGCAGAGUGAUUACAAGUAGGUCAGUUUGCAAAGGCAAGAUCGGAAAAAUGGACAACUUGCAAGUUACUGCACAAUCCCAUAGGGGGCGCAAUAAAAAAAAAUACUAUGGGAAAGGGUGGAGGCAAUAAUAAUAAUGGAAUUACUGGAUUUGAAAAGUCUUGAUGCUACAAACUUUAUGAACAAGAAAUUAUGGUUUAAUUGCUUAUCGGACAGACAGGGAUCCGACAUACAGCACAUAAAGAAAAUUCUUAUUUUUUGUACAUGAUCCUAUAGCGAAAGGAAUUUGACAGCUCUUGAUCUGAGCCUCUUCCACAAAUCAGUCUGCAGAAGUUCUGAGCAGGAGCUGCAAGGGAGUCUGGGUAAGCGAGACUAGUUGCCCUAGUGCAGGGGUCAGUAACAUUGACCCUUCCAGUCCAGGUCUUUGUUCCAACCAUGUCCUUAAUCACUACCUGGAUGAAUGGCCCUCCAGGACUGGAGUUGUCUAUCGCAAUGGAAGCAAUCCUGCAGCAUAGUUUAAGAGUGGUGGCGCCCCCUGUGGGCUUUAUAAUCAGCCUGUAUUUAAAAAGAAACACCAGCAUGUGUCUGCUAAGAAAUAAAUAAAUAAAUAAUAAUAAUAAUAAUAAUAAUAAUAAUAAUAAUGUAGAGUGAAAGGACAGCAGUGUUUAGAUCCACUGCUGUUUAUUAAACCAAUGUUGCAUGACAGGAAACCAAAAAUGAUCAAAAAAAUGAUUUAGUUUAGUCAAAAGAAAACCCAGCUAAAUUAUUUUUAAUAACACAUACUGGACAAAAUCUUGACUUGAUAAUGCAGUGAAAGAGAGUCACGCAAUAUGUUUAAAAUUUUAAAGACGUGUUCUGGUCUCAAACACAGAGUCAGGUCCACCUGAUUCAAAGUGGACGCAAUGCACCAUGGGGUUAAACCAUGAAGGCUAUGUGUAAGGGUAUCUGUGCUUUGCA